CAGCAGCCGCGGUAAUACGUAGGGGGCGAGCGUUGUCCGGAUUUAUUGGGCGUAAAGAGCUCGUAGGCCGUUCGGUAAGUCAGAUGUGAAAACUCCAGGCUCAACUUGGAGACGCCAUCUGAUACUGCCGUGACUAGAGUCCGGUAGGGGAGCACGGAAUUCCUGGUGUAGCGGUGAAAUGCGCAGAUAUCAGGAGGAACACCAGCGGCGAAGGCGGUGCUCUGGGCCGGAACUGACGCUGAGGAGCGAAAGCGUGGGUAGCGAACAGGAUUAGAUACCCUGGUAGUCCACGCCGUAAACGUUGGGCACUAGGUGUGGGGACUUAUCAACGGUUUCCAUGCCGUCGCUAACGCAUUAAGUGCCCCGCCUGGGGAGUACGGCCGCAAGGCUAAAACUCAAAGGAAUUGACGGGGGCCCGCACAAGCGGCGGAGCAUGUUGCUUAAUUCGAGGCAACGCGAAGAACCUUACCUGGGUUUGACAUGUAGAGAAAAGCCGUAGAGAUGCGGUGUCCUUCGGGGUUCUACACAGGUGGUGCAUGGCC
Molecule: ribosomal RNA, 542 nt
Filed under: uncultured archaeon
Lineage: Archaea
Description: bacterial SSU rRNA
Rfam family: Bacterial small subunit ribosomal RNA
Source: RNAcentral